This is a long non-coding RNA of Clupea harengus (Atlantic herring), 520 nucleotides long. The record is from Ensembl. NCBI's taxonomy places the organism in Eukaryota, Metazoa, Chordata, Actinopteri, Clupeiformes, Clupeidae.
GUGUGUAGGGGUGUGUGGAGGUGUGGAGGUGUGUAGUGGAGGUGGUGUAGUGGUGUGUGGAGGUGGUGUAGUGGUGUGUGGAGGCGUGUGGAGGUGUUGUAGUGGGGUGUGGAGGUGUGUAGUGGUGUGUGGAGGUGUGUGGUGGGGUGUGGAGGUGGUGUAGGGGUGUGUGGAGGUGUGUAGUGGAGGUGUGUAGUGGUGUGUGGAGGUGGUGUAGUGGUGUGUGGAGGUGUGUAGUGGUGUGUGGAGGUGGUGUAGUGGUGUGUGGAGGUGUUGUAGUGGUGUGUGGAGGUGGUGUAGUGGUGUGUGGAGGUGGUGUAGUGGUGUGUGGAGGUGUGUGGAGGUGUGUGGUGGGGUGUGGUGGUGUAGUGGGGUGUGGGUGUGGAGGGAUAAGAUGAGAUGAGUUCUGUUCUGAUGAGAUGAGAUCUGUUCAGAUGAGAUGAAAUGAGUGGGGAGCGGACAGAUGCAUCUCCUGCAGGGACAUCUCUCUGGAAAAAAUAAAUCAAUUGGCAAAUGUUAC